CAGCAUUUUGUGUGUGUUGUUGUUAAUGUUGACAGUGCUUCUCCCUAUAGAUGCUGCCUGGCCUGCUGUGUUCCACCAGCAUUUUGUGUGUGUUGUUGUUGUUUGAAUUUCCAGCAUCUGCAGAUUUCCUUGUGUUUUCAGUUCCUUGAGAGAAUUUUCCAAGCAGAAAAUGGAGACAAUGGAGCCCAAACCCAGACUGCUCCCUGUCAAUGCAAAUGAAGCCGAUGCACUACCCCAGACAGGGCGAGGCUCCAGCUAAUCACUUGGCUAACAGAAAAAGAAAAGUACUGGCCAAUUAGUUCUCACCCAGAGUCUGAAAUAUCCUCAGCAUCCAAUAAGUCUGGCGACAAUGCAGCACUGCCAAAGUGGGAGAAGGAAUUUUCU
Molecule: long non-coding RNA, 384 nt
Organism: Hypanus sabinus (Atlantic stingray)
Lineage: Eukaryota; Metazoa; Chordata; Chondrichthyes; Myliobatiformes; Dasyatidae
Exons: 3
Source: RefSeq, a predicted model, not a curated record